RNAcentral lists this ribosomal RNA (791 nucleotides) under uncultured archaeon. RNAcentral's name for it is "bacterial SSU rRNA". It matches the Rfam family "Archaeal small subunit ribosomal RNA", at positions 85 to 879 of the family's 1478-position model. The record is from RNAcentral.
ACGGCUCAGUAACACGUGGAUAACCUGCCCAAAAGUCUGGGAUAACCCCGGGAAACUGGGGAUAAUACCGGAUGGAUCACUUCUGCUGGAAGGCUUGGUGGUUUAAAGGCAACGCUUUUGGAUGGGUCUGCGGCGGAUUAGGUUGACGCCGGUGUAACGUACCGGCGUGCCUGUAAUCCGUACGGGUUGUGGGAGCAAGAGCCCGGAGAUGGAUUCUGAGACACGAAUCCAGGCCCUACGGGGCGCAGCAGGCGCGAAAACUCUACAAUGCAGGCAACUGCGAUAGGGGGACAUCGAGUGGCACCCACCUUGGGUGCCUGUCCCACCGUCUAAAAAACGGUGGUUAGCAAGGGCCGGGUAAGACCGGUGCCAGCCGCCGCGGUAAUACCGGCGGCUCGAGUGGUGGCCGAUAUUAUUGAGUCUAAAGGGUCCGUAGCCGGCUUUGCAAGUCCCCUGGGAAAUCCAGCGGCUCAACCGUUGGGCUUCCAUGGGAUACUACAUUGCUUGGGACUGGGAGAGGUAGGAGGUACUCGGGGGGUAGGGGUGAAAUCCUGUAAUCCUCCGGGGACCACCGGUGGCGAAGGCGUCCUACCAGAACAGGUCCGACGGUGAGGGACGAAAGCUAGGGGCACGAACCGGAUUAGAUACCCGGGUAGUCCUAGCCGUAAACGAUGCCCGCUAGGUGUCACGGCGGUCGUGAAUCGCCGUGGUGCCGUAGGGAAGCCGCGAAGCGGGCCACUUGGGAAGUACGGCCGCAAGGCUGAAACUUAAAGGAAUUGGCGGGGGAGCAC